CAACUGUCGGAGCUUGUUCAUCAUGAAAGCUCGUCCGGAAUCCAUCCACUGUGGAAGCUCGGACGGAGUCUGAUUCUUGUGGGAGGCCGAAAGGAGGCUGCUUAUUGUUGGAGCUCGGUCGAAGAUCGGUUGUCAUGGGAGCUCGGAGUAACGACCUGGCCAGUGGAUCCUACCUCAUGGUAGAAGCUCGUCUGGGAUCCGGCCAUGAAGAAGCUCGGCUGAAGGCUACCUGUAAUGAAAGUUUGGAAGAAAUCUCUUUACAGUAGAGGUCCGCAUGAAAUUUGCUUACAAUAGAGAUCCAGGGU
Molecule: long non-coding RNA, 305 nt
Filed under: Elaeis guineensis (African oil palm)
Lineage: Eukaryota; Viridiplantae; Streptophyta; Magnoliopsida; Arecales; Arecaceae
Description: long non-coding RNA (EGUI_LNC078919)
Source: RNAcentral